CUCUUUGUAAUAAGGUAAAAAUCAAUAAUGAGCCUAAUAAUGCACUAAAUCACCAACUAACAAUAGAGUAAAAACAGUAUAUAUAUCAUAAUGAGGCAAAAAGUUUGAACAUGGUUGAAUUCAUAGUUCGACUACUGGCAUUCAACUAAAACAUCAAUACGCAUCAACGACACUCAGAAAUUUUUUGAAAAAUCACAAAAAUAACAGUAGCCUUAGAAAACAGAGGAACCAAUUCAAUAACAAUAGAGUAACAGAUGAGGAAUCAAUUCAAUCAAUCGACUACCAAUCUAACAACAACCAGAUAUCACAAACGACUUAGUAAACACAGAAAAAGCUAUAAUUUCACUAAUCCCAAAAGGCCAUAGUUCGAUGACAAAAAUCAAAAUUAAAGAUUGUUACCUGAUAAGCAAAGUUUUUUGCCGAUUAAGACAGGAAAUUGAAGGAAACGAAUGCUUUAUGCAAUAAUUCUUGAAACCUACACGAAAACAAAAGUUGUAGACGAAUGAGAAGGA
This 512-nucleotide long non-coding RNA is filed under the name Nicotiana benthamiana. RNAcentral describes it as "long non-coding RNA (NBEN_LNC002377)". The record is from RNAcentral. Lineage: Eukaryota; Viridiplantae; Streptophyta; Magnoliopsida; Solanales; Solanaceae.